RNAcentral lists this ribosomal RNA (247 nucleotides) under uncultured bacterium. RNAcentral describes it as "partial 16S ribosomal RNA". It matches the Rfam family "Bacterial small subunit ribosomal RNA", at positions 85 to 334 of the family's 1533-position model. The record is from RNAcentral.
CCGAUGGCGACCGGCGCACGGGUGAGUAACACGUAUCCAACCUGCCUCAUACUCGGGGAUAGCCUUUCGAAAGAAGGAUUAAUAUCCGAUAGCAUAUAUUUCCCGCAUGGGUUUUAUAUUAAAGAAAUUCGGUAUGAGAUGGGGAUGCGUUCCAUUAGUUUGUUGGGGGGUAACGGCCCACCAAGACUACGAUGGAUAGGGGUUCUGAGAGGAAGGUCCCCCACAUUGGAACUGAGACACGGUCCAA